This 490-nucleotide unclassified non-coding RNA is filed under the name Hevea brasiliensis (rubber tree). The record is from RNAcentral. Lineage: Eukaryota; Viridiplantae; Streptophyta; Magnoliopsida; Malpighiales; Euphorbiaceae.
ACCCUUGAUUUUCUCUGACCAUCCAAAGAGGCCAGGUGAUGACGAUCCAUUGCCUCCGUAUAAUAUGGUGCGGAAUGUCUUGGACAUGAAUGCUCAUUAUGGGGGUUUAAAUGCCGCAUUGUUGGAGGCAGGAAAGUCAGUCUGGGUGAUGAAUGUUGUGCCUCUUGGGGUGCAUAAUACACUUCCUCUGAUACUUGAUCGAGGCUUUGCUGGCGUUUUGCAUAACUGGUGUGAACCCUUUCCUACAUAUCCACGAACAUACGAUUUGCUCCAUGGUAGUGGACUUCUUUCGCACCUUGAAUCACAAGGAUGCAGUAUAGUUGAAGUGCUUUUUGAGAUGGACCGCAUCUUACGGCCAGAGGGAUGGAUUAUUCUCUCUGAUAAAUUGGGCCCUAUAGAGAAAGUGCGGAUGGUAGCAACUCAAAUGCGCUGGGAAGCCAGAGUGGUUGACCUCCAGAAUGGAAGUGACCAACGGCUACUCGUAUGCCAA